This 26-nucleotide non-coding RNA is filed under the name Mus musculus (house mouse). Lineage: Eukaryota; Metazoa; Chordata; Mammalia; Rodentia; Muridae. The record is from RNAcentral.
UGCAGUCUCUGCCCAUGCUCUAGGGA